CUGUCGAUAGCUCAGUUGGUAGAGCGGUGGACUGUAGUGGUUGAUAGUAAUCCAUAAGCCCGUGGUUCAAAUCCGCCUCGACAGA
This 85-nucleotide transfer RNA is filed under the name Strigamia maritima. It matches the Rfam family "tRNA". From Rfam's summary of the family: Transfer RNA (tRNA) molecules are approximately 80 nucleotides in length. Their secondary structure includes four short double-helical elements and three loops (D, anti-codon, and T loops). Further hydrogen bonds mediate the characteristic L-shaped molecular structure. tRNAs have two regions of fundamental functional importance: the anti-codon, which is responsible for specific mRNA codon recognition, and the 3' end, to which the tRNAs corresponding amino acid is attached (by aminoacyl-tRNA synthetases). tRNAs cope with the degeneracy of the genetic code in two manners: having more than one tRNA (with a specific anti-codon) for a particular amino acid; and 'wobble' base-pairing, i.e. permitting non-standard base-pairing at the 3rd anti-codon position. The record is from Rfam by way of RNAcentral. Lineage: Eukaryota; Metazoa; Arthropoda; Chilopoda; Geophilomorpha; Linotaeniidae.